Ipomoea nil (Japanese morning glory) is the source of this 541-nucleotide long non-coding RNA. RefSeq lists it as uncharacterized. The record is from RefSeq and is a predicted model, not a curated record. The transcript is spliced from 2 exons. Lineage: Eukaryota; Viridiplantae; Streptophyta; Magnoliopsida; Solanales; Convolvulaceae.
UUCACAUCCCCAACUCACACUCUCUCCUCUACACUUUAUCUUCCUUCUUCACAUCUGCAAUCCAGUCUCUCUCUUAGUCUUUCUCUGCAUAGACAAUUGAAGCUACUUUUACGAAGCCCCAUAGAUUUGGAGUGGAAAUGAAUAUUACAAAAGAGAGAGUAUGAAGAAAAAGAGGAAAUCUGAUUGAACGGAGGAAGAGUACUGUUACAUUGGUUCUGUCUUCAUCAACUGAAAAGAAACUUUACAGAUGGCCUUAUAUACACAGAGCUAACAGAUAACAGAAAAGAGAAAAGAUCCUAACUAACUUCUGAACAGAGCUUAACUGCCAUCAAGGCUUAACUGCCACCUUUCUCUUCUAAUACCCCCCCGCAAGCUGGAGUGUAAAUGGAAUGAAGCCCCAGCUUGGACACAAACUUUUGAAAUAGCAUUGGUUGUAGGGGUUUUGUCAGGAUAUCUGCUGUCUGAUGUUCAGUAGGAACAUGUAGUAGCUUUAUGAUUCCUCCUUGUAUCUUUUCUCUUAUCAAAUGACAAUCUAUUUCUA